RNAcentral lists this ribosomal RNA (393 nucleotides) under uncultured bacterium. Its description in RNAcentral is "partial 16S ribosomal RNA". It matches the Rfam family "Bacterial small subunit ribosomal RNA", at positions 523 to 918 of the family's 1533-position model. The record is from RNAcentral.
AUACGGAGGAUUCGAGCGUUAUCCGGAUUUAUUGGGUUUAAAGGGAGCGUAGGCGGACUAUUAAGUCAGCUGUGAAAGUUUGCGGCUCAACCGUAAAAUUGCAGUUGAAACUGGCAGUCUUGAGUACAGUAGAGGUGGGCGGAAUUCGUGGUGUAGCGGUGAAAUGCUUAUAUAUCACGAAGAACUCCGAUUGCGAAGGCAGCUCACUAGACUGUUACUGACACUGAUGCUCGAAAGUGUGGGUAUCAAACAGGAUUAGAUACCCUGGUAGUCCACACAGUAAACGAUGAAUACUCGCUGUUUGCGAUAUACAGUAAGCGGCCAAGCGAAAGCAUUAAGUAUUCCACCUGGGGAGUACGCCGGCAACGGUGAAACUCAAAUGAAUUGGCGGGG